GACUAGUGUGUGCUAGUGGUUUGAGUGUUACACUGUGACUCUGAAGACCAGGGUUCAAUUCCCCACUUGGCCA
Molecule: non-coding RNA, 73 nt
Organism: Phrynosoma platyrhinos (Desert horned lizard)
Lineage: Eukaryota; Metazoa; Chordata; Lepidosauria; Squamata; Phrynosomatidae
Source: the annotation of a GenBank genome assembly